UGGGGGAUAUUGCACAAUGGGCGAAAGCCUGAUGCAGCGACGCCGCGUGGGGGAUGAAGGCCUUCGGGUUGUAAACUUCUUUUGCUCUGAACAAGGCAUGCUAAUGGGUGUGUUGAGUGUAGGGGUUGAUUAGCGCCGGCUAACUACGUGCCAGCAGCCGCGGUAAUACGUAGGGCGCGAGCGUUGUCCGGAAUUAUUGGGCGUAAAGGGCUUGUAGGUGGCUGGUUGCGUCUGUCGUGAAAGCGAAGGGCUUAACUGUGGGUUUGCGGUGGGUACGGGCUGGCUUGAGUGCGGUAGGGGAGGCUGGAAUUCCUGGUGUAGCGGUGGAAUGCGCAGAUAUCAGGAGGAAUACCGGUGGCGAAGGCGGGUCUCUGGGCUGUUACUGACACUGAGGAGCGAAAACAUGGGGAGCGAACAGG
Molecule: ribosomal RNA, 419 nt
Filed under: bacterium
Lineage: Bacteria
Description: partial 16S ribosomal RNA
Rfam family: Bacterial small subunit ribosomal RNA
Source: RNAcentral